UUACCGAGUUUCUAAAACUCCAACCCUUUGUGAACUUACCGCUGUUUCCUCGGCGUACUGCUAAGGCCUACCUACUGGGUACCCCGCAGGUCAUCUUGCGGGGUGCCUUGCUAGGGAGGCGCCCGCACAGCGAAUCUACCCUGCGUAGACUAGCCUGGGUGCCGACCAAGGCCGGCUGCAGCGCCGAAAGGACUGCUACAAACUCUUUUUAUCCAACUCUACGUAGAACCUACUCGAACGCUUUUCCUUUCCUGUACUUGCUUUCUCUCAACCAUAGAAUGUCUUUCCCGGUUGGAAUUAUCGCUCGCGUAAAAUGCUUUCUUUCCCUGUUUUCCCCUUCGAAGGUGUUUCCCGGUUGGAAUUAUCGCUCCCCGUGAUAUGUUUCUUUCGUGCUUCCUUUCCUUCGAAUGUGUUUCCCGGUUGGAAUUUUUUGCUCGAAUAAAUAAUUUCUUUAUGAUUGAAAGUCUUUCCCGGUUGGAAUUAUUCGUUCGAAAUUCUAUUUUAGAGUCUGAGGGCCUCAUAAACAAACCUAAAAAAACAAUCAAAACUUUCAACAACGGAUCUCUUGGUUCUGGCAUCGAUGAAGAACGCAGCGAAAUGCGAUAAGUAAUGUGAAUUGCAGAAUUCAGUGAAUCAUCGAAUCUUUGAACGCACAUUGCGCCCAUUAGUAUUCUAGUGGGCAUGCCUAUUCGAGCGUCAUUUCGACCCUUAAGCCUUGUUGCUUAGCGUUGGGAUUCUACCGCCUAUGCGGUAGUUCCUUAAAAUCAGUGGCGGAGUUAUAGCACACUCUAAGCGUAGUAGUUCAUGCCUCGCUUCCAGAGUGGCCGUGGCUUCCUGCCGUAAAACCCCCCUAUACUUCUAGUGGUUGACCUCGGAUUAGGUAGGAAUACCCGCUGAACUUAAGCAUAUCAAUAAGCGGAGGAAAAGAAACCAACAGGGAUUGCCCUAGUAACGGCGAGUGAAGCGGCAACAGCUCAAAUUUGAAAUCUGGCCCUCGCGGUCCGAGUUGUAAUUUGCAGAGGAUGCUUUUGGCGCGGUGCCUUCCGAGUUCCCUGGAACGGGACGCCAGAGAGGGUGAGAGCCCCGUACGGUUGGACACCUACCCUAUAUAUAGCUCCUUCGACGAGUCGAGUAGUUUGGGAAUGCUGCUCUAAAUGGGAGGUAAAUUUCUUCUAAAGCUAAAUACCGGCCAGAGACCGAUAGCGCACAAGUAGAGUGAUCGAAAGAUGAAAAGCACUUUGAAAAGAGGGUUAAAUAGCACGUGAAAUUGUUGAAAGGGAAGCGUUUGCGACCAGACCUUCUCCAGGCGGAUCAUCCGGCUCUCUCGCCGGUGCACUUCGCCUGGUUUAGGCCAGCAUCGGUUUCCUUAGGGGGAUAAAGGCCUGGGGAACGUAGCUCUCUAGGGAGUGUUAUAGCCCCUCGCGUAAUACCCUUCAGGGGACCGAGGACCGCGCU
This 1455-nucleotide ribosomal RNA is filed under the name Xylariaceae sp. 4Y-Dr2-3. RNAcentral describes it as "eukaryotic LSU rRNA". The stretch from base 867 to 1455 matches the Rfam family "Eukaryotic large subunit ribosomal RNA", at positions 1 to 599 of the family's 3401-position model. The record is from RNAcentral. Lineage: Eukaryota; Fungi; Ascomycota; Sordariomycetes; Xylariales; Xylariaceae.